AUGAGUACCUGUAAAAAGGCCAGGGCGGAAGGUAUAUGUGUUGUGAGUUUAGAUAGACUGAGCAGCCUACCGCCAGAGAUAAAGGGCAACAUCCUCUCCCUUUUGAAUGUCGAAGAAGCAGUUAGGACUUGCACCUUAUCAAGUACUUGGAGGGAUGCAUGGGCUAAUAUGCCAAAAAUAUCUCUGCGUGAUGGAAAUUUUGCACGAACCAAGUUUGUUACGUUGGUCGAUAUGGUGCUAUCAGUCCACAAAGGAACUAUAGAAGGGUGUCAUAUUUCAGGUAGCAAAAAUUACCAUGAUGAGUUCGGUAGGUGGAUGCUCAUGCUGUCAAGAAGAUCACCAAGAUCAGUUAUAAUCAAGUUAUAA
This 366-nucleotide ribosomal RNA is filed under the name Triticum aestivum (bread wheat). Its description in RNAcentral is "partial small subunit ribosomal RNA". The record is from RNAcentral. Lineage: Eukaryota; Viridiplantae; Streptophyta; Magnoliopsida; Poales; Poaceae.